RNAcentral lists this ribosomal RNA (497 nucleotides) under uncultured bacterium. Its description in RNAcentral is "partial 16S ribosomal RNA". It matches the Rfam family "Bacterial small subunit ribosomal RNA", at positions 28 to 507 of the family's 1533-position model. The record is from RNAcentral.
GACGAACGCUGGCGGCGUGCCUAAUACAUGCAAGUUGAGCGCUGAAGGUUGGUACUUGUACCAACUGGAUGAGCAGCGAACGGGUGAGUAACGCGUGGGGAAUCUGCCUUUGGGCGGGGGACAACAUUUGGAAACGAAUGCUAAUACCGCAUAAAAACUUUAAACACAAGUUUUAAGUUUGAAAGAUGCAAUUGCAUCACUCAAAGAUGAUCCCGCGUUGUAUUAGCUAGUUGGUGAGGUAAAGGCUCACCAAGGCGAUGAUACAUAGCCGACCGGAGAGGGUGAUCCGCCAAAAUGGGACUGAGACAAGGCCCAAAAUCCUAAGGGAGGCAGCAGUAGGGAAUCGUCGGCAAUGGACGAAAGUCUGACCGAGCAAAGCCGCGUGAGGGAAGAAGGGUUUCGGAUCGUAAAACUCUGUUGGUAGAGAAGAACGUUGGUGAGAGUGGAAAGCUCAUCAAGUGACGGUAACUACCCAGAAAGGGACGGCUAACUACGUG